CCCUUAGAUGUUCUGGGCCGCACGCGCGCUACACUGACGAAGUCAGCGAGCAUGUCCUACGCCGACAGGUGCGGGGAAUCUUGUCAAACUUCGUCGUGAUGGGGAUUGAUUAUUGAAAUUCUUGAUCAUCAACGAGGAAUUCCUAGUAAGCGCAAGUCAGCAGCUUGCGUUGAUUACGUCCCUGCCCUUUGUACACACCGCCCGUCGCUACUACCGAUUGAAUGGUUUAGUGAGAAUUUUGGACUGGAACUCCCUUGCUCAGCAAUGGGCGAGGGGGAGUCCGGGAAGCUAUUCUAACUGUAUCAUUUAGAGGAAGUAAAAGUCGUAACA
RNAcentral lists this ribosomal RNA (330 nucleotides) under uncultured eukaryote. RNAcentral's name for it is "partial 18S ribosomal RNA". It matches the Rfam family "Eukaryotic small subunit ribosomal RNA", at positions 1470 to 1796 of the family's 1831-position model. The record is from RNAcentral.